GAAGACUUAGAACCAGAUACGUCAUAUUCUAUCAAGGCUGGUGCUGUGAAUCACGUGGGUGAAGGAUUACCCAGUAAUGUGAUUGAAGUGAAAACACACUCUGUUCCCUUUUCGUACUAGUUCAAAACAUAGGUCUUGCCAACCUCAGCAAUAAUUUACAUAGCGUAUAUAUAACAACAUUCUCUAUAGUGGCUCUUUAAUCAGCAACAAUUUGUUUCAUUAUCUGAAACAAACUCAUAAAUACAUUGGUGGUUUCUUUGGUAUAUCUUCUGAUACCCACUAUGACCAAUAGAGCUACCGAGGAUGACAACAGAUUAGGGUUGCUCUAGUCAGGAUAAGGGUUUUUGACAUCCGCGAAGCAAGCAGCCAAACAUAGAAGAAUCCUGACUGCAGUGUUUUCUAGACCUAACCUCAAGUUCAUUCAGUAACACAAUAAUCUCAAUUUUUGAGAAGUUGGCCAUGAAAUGAAGAUGAAAUUCUUAACCAGUGUUGCAGUAUUAUGUUAAUCAUUCCUUUGCUUUUUGUUUCUUCUUAUUUCAGGUUUUACAAUGGUCCAGCUCCUUUCGACAUUCUACUUUCGCUUUCCGACACGUUUCGUUUAUUUUUCGGAUCGGACUCGGCCAUAUUUCGUAGUGUCUUCGUUCGAAAAGCUUACUUUCGUUUCGAUCUCAAACAAUAUAUUUUUCUCAAUGAAUUGAAUGAUUCGCCUAGUUGAGAGAAAAAAGGAAAAUUAACGAAAAUGUGUUAUUUUAAAGUCAAAUGGUUUGCGAUUUCCCCAAAAAUUUAACGGAAGGGGGGAAGGGUCGUAGGGAGUUAAUGUGAAGGAAAACCAAAAGAAAAACCGGGAAGGGAACUGGCAUAGAAGGAAAAUGGAAGGGAAUAGAUGUCAGGGGAAAAAAAAAGUGAAUUAUAGCGCAAUAUUUUUUUAUCCGUCUAUUAAUUAAUUAUUCAUAUUU
Actinia tenebrosa (Australian red waratah sea anemone) is the source of this 956-nucleotide long non-coding RNA. Lineage: Eukaryota; Metazoa; Cnidaria; Anthozoa; Actiniaria; Actiniidae. The record is from RefSeq and is a predicted model, not a curated record.